UGGGGAAUCUUCCGCAAUGGACGAAAGUCUGACGGAGCAACGCCGCGUGAGUGAUGACGGCCUUCGGGUUGUAAAGCUCUGUUAAUCGGGACGAAUGGUUCUUGUGCAAAUAGUGCGAGGAUUUGACGGUACCGGAAUAGAAAGCCACGGCUAACUACGUGCCAGCAGCCGAGGUAAUACGUAGGUGGCAAGCGUUGUCCGGAAUUAUUGGGCGUAAAGCGCGCGCAGGCGGAUUGGUCAGUCUGUCUUAAAAGUUCGGGGCUUAACCCCGUGAUGGGAUGGAAACUGCCAAUCUAGAGUAUCGGAGAGGAAAGUGGAAUUCCUAGUGUAGCGGUGAAAUGCGUAGAUAUUAGGAAGAACACCAGUGGCGAAGGCGACUUUCUGGACGAAAACUGACGCUGAGGCGCGAAAGCCAGGGGAGCGAACGGG
RNAcentral lists this ribosomal RNA (429 nucleotides) under bacterium. RNAcentral's name for it is "partial 16S ribosomal RNA". It matches the Rfam family "Bacterial small subunit ribosomal RNA", at positions 355 to 776 of the family's 1533-position model. The record is from RNAcentral.